GCGCACCAGGCGCGAAACUUUACAAUGUGCGAAAGCACGAUAAGGGAACUCUGAGUGCCUCCUAAGGAGGCUGUUCAGGUGUCUAAAAGCACCUGGAGUAAGGGCUGGGUAAGACCGGUGCCAGCCGCCGCGGUAACACCGGCAGCCCAGGUGGUAGCCACUUUUAUUGGGUCUAAAGCGUCCGUAGCCGGUUGAGUAAGUUCCUUGGGAAAUUUGGCUGCUCAACAGUCAAGCUUCCAGGGAAUACUGCUCGACUUGGGACUGGGAGAGGUCAGAGGUACUCCAGGGGUAGGGGUGAAAUCCAUUAAUCCCUGGGGGACCACCGGUAGCGAAGGCGUCUGACCAGACCAGGUCCGACGGUGAGGGACGAAGGCUAGGGUCGCGAACCGGAUUAGAUA
This 398-nucleotide ribosomal RNA is filed under the name uncultured microorganism. Its description in RNAcentral is "bacterial SSU rRNA". It matches the Rfam family "Archaeal small subunit ribosomal RNA", at positions 330 to 735 of the family's 1478-position model. The record is from RNAcentral.